This 253-nucleotide ribosomal RNA is filed under the name uncultured bacterium. Its description in RNAcentral is "partial 16S ribosomal RNA". It matches the Rfam family "Bacterial small subunit ribosomal RNA", at positions 524 to 776 of the family's 1533-position model. The record is from RNAcentral.
UACGUAGGGGGCGAGCGUUGUCCGGAAUUACUGGGCGUAAAGGGCGUGUAGGCGGUUAUUUAAGUCAGGUGUGAAAGACCGGGGCUCAACCCCGGGGAUGCACCUGAAACUGGAUAACUUGAGGGCAAGAGAGGGAAGCGGAAUUCCUAGUGUAGCGGUGAAAUGCGUAGAUAUUAGGAGGAACACCAGUGGCGAAGGCGGCUUCCUGGCUUGGCCCUGACGCUGAGGCGCGAAAGCGUGGGGAGCAAACAGG